RNAcentral lists this transfer RNA (60 nucleotides) under Muribaculaceae bacterium. RNAcentral's name for it is "tRNA-OTHER". The record is from RNAcentral. Lineage: Bacteria; Pseudomonadati; Bacteroidota; Bacteroidia; Bacteroidales; Muribaculaceae.
GACGGCGUAGCCUUCUGGCGACAAUGGUCAAUGCAGGUUCGACUCCUGCCGCCGUCCCCA